Molecule: ribosomal RNA, 483 nt
Filed under: uncultured bacterium
Lineage: Bacteria
Description: partial 16S ribosomal RNA
Rfam family: Bacterial small subunit ribosomal RNA
Source: RNAcentral
AUUGAACGCUGGCGGCAUGCUUUACACAUGCAAGUCGAACGGCAGCGCGGGCUUCGGCCUGGCGGCGAGUGGCGAACGGGUGAGUAAUGCAUCGGAACGUGCCCAGUAGUGGGGAAAGCCCCGCCAAAGCCGGAUUAAUUCCGGAUACGGCCCGAGGGGGGAAGCGGGGGACCCAAAGGCCCCGCGCUAUUGGAGCGGCCGAUGGCGGAUUAGCCAGUUGGUGGGGUAAAGGCUUACCAAGGCGACGAUCCGUAGCUGGUCUGAGAGGACGACCAGCCACACUGGGACUGAGACACGGCCCAGACUCCUACGGGAGGCAGCAGUGGGGAAUUUUGGACAAUGGGGGCAACCCUGAUCCAGCCAUGCCGCGUGCGGGAAGAAGGCCUUCGGGUUGUAAACCGCUUUUGUUCGGGAAGAAAUCCUCUGGGCUAAUACCCCGGGGGGAUGACGGUACCGGAAGAAUAAGCACCGGCUAACUACGUG